Molecule: long non-coding RNA, 4302 nt
Filed under: Setaria viridis
Lineage: Eukaryota; Viridiplantae; Streptophyta; Magnoliopsida; Poales; Poaceae
Description: long non-coding RNA (SVIR_LNC000141)
Source: RNAcentral
UGGAGGCGUCUUGUCUCUUGGAGACAUGUGGAACAGAUUGUGAACCACGCUACAGGAAGCACAGAGGCAGAGGUGUUGAGGCCUCUCAUGUUCCAGUUGAGAAUAUGGCAAGAUUCUUUUGGCAUUCAACCUUGAUGGUUACAACAGACUGCAAAAGACCAGAAAAGGCUAAUUUAGUCAUGCAAUCAACCUGCCUACUCACCAAUUGUAACCCUACAGCUAGUGAGAUUAAUACAGUGGCAGGAAAUCAGCUUACCAUGUCAAAAAGACAACAUCGCCAGUUCUACACCUUAUCUGGGUUCGCCAAUUGUCGUCAUCAUUGCCAUCGCUAGAGGUAAGGUAGAAUUUUGUCGAGAGUCUUGAAAAGCCUGGCAAAUAAAGAGCUUCACCUGGAAAGGCAUUUCAAUGUGCCACAAGUCUAUCGUCCUAGAGCUAAUCACACCCCUAACAACAAUCCAUAUUAGUAUAAUCAAUUGACAAUAUUCAGCGGCAACAUUUCAAUUUAGUAGGUGCAGACUACGGACUUUUUGUGUAGCAAGCAGUAGUAUGACAUCCAGUGAAAAAAAUCAAUCAUUAUCAAAACAAUUGCUUAAAUUGAAACCAUUGCAUAUAGUGUCAAAUAACAAUUUAUCACAACAUCGCUGUAUAAUGGAAGGUCACAUGAAAACAAUAAAGAGUACAUAGCUUGUUUAAUCAACAACAGAAUGCUCCCUUUUCCAGGUCAACAGAUAUACAGUCAUACGUCAGCAAGUUAUUCUAAUAUCGUUUUACUUUCUCCCCUAUAUAACAUACAAAAGAAAAAAAAGAGAGGCAUUUCAACAUGAUUUUCACAUAGUAAUGAUCUAGGGUGACUACCAACCUAACAUACUCCAUAUAAACGAAUGAACUUUUAGUAGAUUAGAAGAUUGAUUAAUGCACAAAAUGCAAGGCAGGCAGCUCAAGCGAAGUGUCAGUGUGAAACUCCAUGCUAGUAGUUAGCAGUAGUUCUAUUAGCUAAACAGUCUCAUGGUAAGCAAACUAAUUUUACUUUACAAAGCCACACAUUGUUUGGGCCAACAACAGAGCAUGCAUCUCCACCAGCCAGCUCCUUACAUCUCAAAAGCACCGAUGUGACUAGCUAAAAAAGCAGUGAUGUGACAGUUAAGCAAUGAGCACCCUGUGCCGUCCUAGAUCAACUACACCACUGAUAUGACAGUGGUCUUUAUCAUGGGGUCAAUUUAAGAACCAGUUUUCCACGCUCAAGAAUUAGUAUAUAUGACUUGUAGUAUACUUCAAGUGAAGAGAUUCGUCAAUUGACUUCUCAUGCUUCAUCUUUCCCUACUUGCUCCUACCAUUCUUUCCCUACAUACACUCAGCAAGUAUGGCUCCAAGUUAGCCACCUUACAGAACAGGAUCUUUACAAAUACACUUGCUACUUAGAUCAAAACUCAUUAAAAAAAAACAUGCAGAGAGCGCCACAAUUUUCAUGCAAAAGCAAGGUUAGUAGGCUGGCCAUGCCUUUCUUCGGUCUUCCCCUUGUGCUGCUACUCACCAUGGCUUCUCCUGCAACUUCAUGCAAUGAGAAGGAGAAGAGCUCCCUUCUACAGUUUAUUGCUGAGCUAUCAUCACAUGAUGGUGGUGUUACCACGUCCUGGCGGAAUGGCACAGACUGCUGCAAGUGGGAAGGCAUCACUUGCAAUGGACACGGAGCAGUUAUGGAGGUGUCUCUAGCAUCUAGAAGCCUAGAAGGAAGCAUCUCCCCGUCCCUUGGCAAGCUCACCAGCUUGUUGCGCCUCAACCUCUCAUACAACUCGCUCUCUGGUAACCUGCCAUCAGAACUAUUGUCAUCUGGCAGCAUCACUGUACUCGAUGUGAGCUUCAACAGCCUCAACGGGGAUCUGCAUGAACCUCAUCCUUCAAUCACUGAGCAGCCGUUGCAAGCACUCAACAUCUCAAGCAACUUGUUUACAGGAGAAUUUCCAUCUACAAUGUGGGAGAAAACAAGAAAUUUGAUUUCCAUCAAUGCAAGCAACAAUAGCUUCCAAGGAUGGAUACCAUCUUCUUUUUGCAUCAGCUCAACAUCUGUUGCGGUGCUUGACCUUUCAUUCAACCAAUUCAGUGGCAGCAUCCCUGCUGAUAUGGGUAAAUGCUCUGCACUUAGAGUACUCAAGGCUGGCCACAACCACCUCAGUGGGCUCCUCCCAGAUGAGCUCUUCAAUGCUACACUGUUAGAGUACCUCUCUUUCCCAAACAAUGGUUUGCAGGGAUUACUUGAUGGUGCACAAGUAAUGAAGCUCAGAAAUCUAGUUAACCUUGAUCUUGGAGUCAAUAGGCUAAAUGGCAAGAUUCCGGAAACUAUAGGCCAGCUCAAGAGACUGGAGGGGCUCCAUUUGAACAAUAACAACAUGUUUGGGGAGCUGCCAUCAGCUCUGAGCAAUUGCACAAAUAUCAUAACGAUUGACCUCAAGGGUAACAAUUUCAGCGGAGAGCUUCACAAAGUCAACUUCUUCAACCUGCUCAAUCUAAAAGCAUUAGAUCUUCUGUACAACAACUUCACUGGCACAAUUCCAGAAAGCAUCUACUCAUGCAGCAACCUGAUGGCAUUGCGGCUAUCUAGCAACAAGUUGCAUGGGCAGCUAUCACCAAGAAUAGGCAAUUUGAAAUCUCUUGUUUUCCUGUCACUUGGUGCCAACACCUUCACAAAUAUCACAAAUACGCUUCAGAUCCUCAAGAACUGUGGGAAUCUCACCUCCCUACUUAUUGGAUCCAGCUUCAAGGGUGAGGCCAUACCACAAGAUGAAACGAUUGAUGGUUUUCAGAAUCUUCGGGUUCUUUCCAUAACUGAUUGCUCGUUGUCCGGGAAAAUACCUCUUUGGCUGUCAAAGCUCAAAAAUCUGGAGAUCUUAUUUUUGAACAGGAAUCGGCUCACUGGAACAAUUCCAGACUGGAUCAGAAACUUAAAUUCACUUUUCCUUCUGGACCUAGCAUCUAAUAACCUUACAGGGGAGUUACCGAUGGCCUUAAUGGAAAUGCCAAUGCUAAGGACAGAAAAGGCUGCAACCCAUUUGGAUACAAGGGUGUUUGAGCUACCUCUUUAUUUCGCUCACACAUUUCAAUACCGGAUAGCUACUACUUUCAUGAAAACACUGGAUCUUAGUCACAAUAACUUAACGGGUGCGAUUCCCCAGGAGUUUGUUCAGUUGAAAUCACUUGAGAAGCUCAAUUUGAGUUUCAACGGCUUGUCAGGAGAGAUUUCGCAGCAACUCAGCAAGCUGACAAAUCUGCAAAUUUUAGACUUGUCUAGCAACCAUCUCACAGGUGCAAUCCCAUCCGCACUGAACAACCUGCACUUCCUCUCUCAAUUCAAUGUUUCUCAUAAUGACCUGGAAGGACCUAUUCCGAAUGGAGGUCAGCUUAGUACAUUUCCAAGUUCUAGCUUUGAUGGGAACCCGAAGUUGUGUGGGAUUAUGGUUGCUAAACUCUGUGGCUCAGCUGAAGCACCUCCAGUCUCUGUUCCCUCCACAGAACAAACGGUCAGAAGGGUUGCCUUUGUGAUUUCUUUUGGGGCUUUCUUUGCUGUAGGGGUGAUAUAUGAUCAAAUAGUCUUGUCAAGGUAUUUCGGUUAGUCUCAGUUUACAUGUGAGAUUAUGAUGGCUUUAGUGCUAAUUAUCUCCUGCUCAGGUUCAGCGAUAUCGAUUAUGGAGUUGUAAACCAUAUUUGACUCAUUUUUCAUGUCUACAAAAAGGGUAACUGGAGGGGAUUUAUAGGCCAGGACAGAGUAAACCAUUUGGUGCAAAUGCAAAAGAAUGCAGCCAUGUAAGCUGAUCUGAAUGGAAGCAGUCUAAAUUUGUCAAGAAAAUAAGAGAUCUCUCCCGUUUGAUUUCUGUGUCGCUAUAAUUUAAUCAUUCAAUUUUGUUGCUGUACAAUAACACUACACAAUUAAAUCAUGAUACAUUUUCGCGCACACGAUUAUACAAUAUAAAUGCAAGCAGAGCCAGCAACCCAAAUCUCUGUGCGACAACGACAAGGGCGGUCAAUCAAAAAGACGUAGGGCAAUCCAAAAUUUCGAGCAACAAGACGCGGUUAUGCGCCUCCGAUUUUUUCCCCCCAUCAAACAAGGUUUAUGCAGGAUUUACCUUGGGAGCGCGCCUCACUUUCACUGGCACUUCCGCCCUGCACUCCGGCGACAUCACGCCGGCGCGUGCGGCGCGCUAGGGCGGUCGAGUUGUCAGGAGCCGUUGCGCCGGUCGCGUCGCCGCCGCCGCGGCGUAUCGCUGUCGCGCGCCGGAGGAUGGCUGCCACCUGAUCUGAGGAUGGCUGCCG